Molecule: ribosomal RNA, 779 nt
Filed under: uncultured bacterium
Lineage: Bacteria
Description: bacterial SSU rRNA
Rfam family: Bacterial small subunit ribosomal RNA
Source: RNAcentral
AGAGUUUGAUCAUGGCUCAGGACGAACGCUGGCGGCGUGCCUAACACAUGCAAGUCGAGCGGGGACUGGGGAGUAGCAAUACGAGCUGGUUCCAGCGGCGGACGGGUGAGUAACGCGUGAGCAACCUGUCCCGAACAGGGGGAUAACGAGCCGAAAGGCUCACUAAUACCGCAUAAGACCACAGCAUCGCAUGAUGCAGAGGUCAAAGGAGCAAUCCGGUUCGGGGUGGGCUCGCGUCUGAUUAGCCAGUUGGUGAGGUAACGGCUCACCAAAGCAACGAUCAGUAGCCGACCUGAGAGGGUGAUCGGCCACAUUGGAACUGAGAGACGGUCCAAACUCCUACGGGAGGCAGCAGUGGGGAAUAUUGGGCAAUGGGCGAAAGCCUGACCCAGCAACGCCGCGUGAAGGAAGAAGGUUUUCGGAUCGUAAACUUCUAUCCCCGGUGAAGAUAAUGACGGUAACCGGGAAGGAAGCCCCGGCUAACUACGUGCCAGCAGCCGCGGUAAUACGUAGGGGGCAAGCGUUGUCCGGAAUGAUUGGGCGUAAAGGGCGCGUAGGCGGCUCGGUAAGUCCGGAGUGAAAUUCCAGCUUUUAAGGUUGGAAUUGCUUUGGAUACUGUCGGGCUUGAGUGCAGGAGAGGUAAGCGGAAUUCCCGGUGUAGCGGUGAAAUGCGUAGAGAUCGGGAGGAACACCAGUGGCGAAGGCGGCUUACUGGACUGUAACUGACGCUGAGGCGCGAAAGUGUGGGGAGCAAACAGGAUUAGAUACCCUAGUAGUCC